Molecule: long non-coding RNA, 303 nt
Filed under: Lathyrus oleraceus (garden pea)
Lineage: Eukaryota; Viridiplantae; Streptophyta; Magnoliopsida; Fabales; Fabaceae
Description: Pisum sativum (pea) long non-coding RNA (PSAT_LNC010359)
Source: RNAcentral
AUAAAAGAAAUCCCAAAAGAUAACCCUAGCCGCUGGCUGUUGGAUUCAAAAGGUAGGGAUUGGGAACACAAAACAGCACUUAAUAGAAACUAAUACCAAUAAAACAAAAGUUAAUGACCACUAAAAAAUCUAAACGUUCACUUAAUGGGGGGUUUUAAAAGUCUGCUAAAAAAAAGAAUAAAUAAAAAAAAAAAGGAAAAAACAAAUGAGGAUGCAGACGAAACCUAAACCCAUCGUCCUCCUUCCCAAACUCGAACUCAGAAAUUUCUCUAACUCAUAACUCUCUCAAACGAAACCUCUCUC